This 143-nucleotide unclassified non-coding RNA is filed under the name Hansenula anomala. RNAcentral describes it as "Wickerhamomyces anomalus partial contains 18S rRNA, ITS1, 5.8S rRNA, ITS2 and 28S rRNA". Lineage: Eukaryota; Fungi; Ascomycota; Saccharomycetes; Phaffomycetales; Wickerhamomycetaceae. The record is from RNAcentral.
UAAACCUUACACACAUUGUCUAGUUUUUUUGAACUUUGCUUUGGGUAAGCUUUCAUGGCUUGCCCAGAGGACAACUAACCACAUUUUUUACAAAUGUUUUAAACCUUUAACCAAUAGUCAUGAAAAUUUUUAACAAAAUUAAA